AGGAAUUUAGGCUAAUUUAGACCAAGGACCUUCAAAGUCCUAAGCAAGUAUCUAAUACUUAAUUCCUG
RNAcentral lists this transfer RNA (68 nucleotides) under Spermophilus alashanicus (Alashan ground squirrel). Its description in RNAcentral is "tRNA-Trp". Lineage: Eukaryota; Metazoa; Chordata; Mammalia; Rodentia; Sciuridae. The record is from RNAcentral.